UAGUUAGUCAUGCUAAGUGACCUGUGCUCUAAUCUCCCAGCAUUGCAAAGCAGCCAAAGUGACCGAUACUGUUACUUCACAUGCUCCUGCAAGGUAGAUUAGAAUCUGCUGCUCCUGAACUUAAUUUGCUGGCAGCAUCUUUAAAAUACUUUCUAGAGCGUUUGGAUCGUAAUCAUUUUUAAGGCUUGAAACUUACUAAAUGAAGCAAAACAAUCUGUUCUCCUUUUGUAUUAAAAAAAAAUAGAUUUAAAUUGUUCUACAUUGUAAAAUCUAAUGUCAGGGUAAGUGUGUGCAAGUAACCUUUUCACCCUCCAGUUGAUACAAAGGACUGUUCUCACUUCACAGAAAUGCCUCUGCGUAGACUGUGGUUCCAUCUGAACCAAUUUGUUUUUGGCUUCUGACUAAAAAGCAUACAAAGAGAUAGUCCAGGCUUCGAUGUCCUAAAACAGGAAACUCAAAAGCGAUGUGGGCCAAUUCAGAGGCAGUCAUUCUGUACUAUGCAGUCAUGGGCCAUUGAAGGAAAAGAAGAAAGUGGCUUUGGGCAAAGUCUGCCUACUUGUAGCAGAAGUCCAAGAGGUAGUCAUCUCUGCAGGUAAAAUGCAAAGUUUGCUAUAUACCUCAGGAUGGAUUAUACUAGUCAAUGGAGAUACAGUAUGUUUCAAGAAUUUACUUAAAAACAAGGAAAAUAAAUUAGUUGAUCUCUCAGACUGCUUCCAGGCAGUAGUUUUUAAACAACUUGUCGUAUGUUUCUUGGCUUUUACAGCUUCACAUAAAAGGUUUUCCUGGUUCAUAAAGGAAAUUAAUGUGAAAUCAAUAAUGGCAUUUAAAAAUUCACCAAACAUUUCCCAUCCGGAGAAAGCCUCUCUCAGAGUGCUACUAAUGAUACAGCAGAGUGGGGAGAACACACACAGCAUUGAUGCUAAAGGCAGACAGAAGGGAAAGCAUCACAGAUAGAAAAUGCAGUGAGGACUGAUGCUUUUGGGAGCCACCAGGAGCAAGGGGGAUCUGCCUGUACCCUGACCUGAACAAACUGUGGGAUCAACUUGCAUGAGGCCUUUGCUUGAAAAUGUAGCCUAGAUGCUGCACUUCCUUCAAGCUAAUGGGUGAAAGUGGCAUGAACAGCAGAGAAAAACUCACUUGAUGGUGAAAAUACCAACAGAAACAUAGUAAGACUUGUUUCUUGUAGUAUAUUACAACUGUAUGACCCCCUGCAUUCCAGG
Long non-coding RNA from Gallus gallus (chicken), 1220 nucleotides. NCBI's taxonomy places the organism in Eukaryota, Metazoa, Chordata, Aves, Galliformes, Phasianidae. The record is from Ensembl.